This is a long non-coding RNA of Mangifera indica (mango), 364 nucleotides long. RefSeq lists it as uncharacterized. The transcript is spliced from 3 exons. Lineage: Eukaryota; Viridiplantae; Streptophyta; Magnoliopsida; Sapindales; Anacardiaceae. The record is from RefSeq and is a predicted model, not a curated record.
UUUAUCCCUUUGAAUAGAUUUUUAUUGGCUAUAAAAUUAUUUCUCUAAAAGUUUAGACCUCAUAAGUAAAUCAACAAUAUUAGUUUUUAUUUUUAUACUUGGCAAUUGAAAAAGGGAGAGGUGUAAAGUUAUUUGGAUCAACAAAAAGGGUUGGAGAUUUGAGACAACGUGAAGAUAUUGGUAUCUCGUUGGUUGAUUAAAGGCAUAGUUAGAAUUGUUGAGAAUAAGUUUUCUAGAUUAGCUAGGAGGGGUGGAAUAAAAUGAACUCAAGCUGAGUUGGGAGAUUGAAGAGUUUUGAUGUCUAGAUUUUAUUGUUUAUGAAUAUUGUAAUUGUGGAUUAUUUAUAAGGUGUGAUUAUGUUUAA